UACGUAGGGUGCAAGCGUUAAUCGGAAUUACUGGGCGUAAAGGGCGCGCAGGCGGCUCUUCAAGUCAGGCGUGAAAGCCCCGGGCUUAACCUGGGAAUUGCGCUUGGGACUGGAGGGCUUGAGUACGGGAGAGGAGAGUGGAAUUCCCAGUGUAGAGGUGAAAUUCGUAGAUAUUGGGAAGAACACCGGUGGCGAAGGCGGCUCUCUGGACCGUAACUGACGCUGAGGCGCGAAAGCGUGGGGAGCAAACAGG
This 253-nucleotide ribosomal RNA is filed under the name uncultured bacterium. RNAcentral describes it as "partial 16S ribosomal RNA". It matches the Rfam family "Bacterial small subunit ribosomal RNA", at positions 524 to 776 of the family's 1533-position model. The record is from RNAcentral.